UACGUAGGGGGCAAGCGUUGUCCGGAUUUAUUGGGCGUAAAGAGCGUGUAGGCGGCCAGACAGGUCCGUUGUGAAAAUUCGAGGCUCAACCUCGAACUUGCGGUGGGUACGGGCAGACUAGAGUGUGGUAGGGGAGACUGGAAUUCCUGGUGUAGCGGUGAAAUGCGCAGAUAUCAGGAGGAACACCGGUGGCGAAGGCGGGUCUCUGGGCAACAACUGACGCUGAGGAGCGAAAGCGUGGGGAGCGAACAGG
This 253-nucleotide ribosomal RNA is filed under the name uncultured bacterium. RNAcentral's name for it is "partial 16S ribosomal RNA". It matches the Rfam family "Bacterial small subunit ribosomal RNA", at positions 524 to 776 of the family's 1533-position model. The record is from RNAcentral.